Molecule: non-coding RNA, 106 nt
Filed under: Platyophrya macrostoma
Lineage: Eukaryota; Ciliophora; Colpodea; Cyrtolophosidida; Platyophryidae
Source: RNAcentral
GUAAUACAGUAUUUGAGUAUUUUGAUUUCUCGUGCUUUAAAAAAAAAAAAACGCCAUGCAGCAAGCGGGUAAUCCCAACCUCCCUGGUUUACGCCAAAGCGAAAUU